This 1192-nucleotide ribosomal RNA is filed under the name Mancopsetta maculata. Its description in RNAcentral is "partial 16S ribosomal RNA". It matches the Rfam family "Bacterial large subunit ribosomal RNA", at positions 593 to 2558 of the family's 2925-position model. The record is from RNAcentral. Lineage: Eukaryota; Metazoa; Chordata; Actinopteri; Pleuronectiformes; Rhombosoleidae.
UUUCCCUCGUACCUUUUGCAUCAUGAUUUAGCCAGCAUACUCAAGCAAAGAGAACUUUAGUUUGACCCCCCGAAACUGCGUGAGCUACUCCAAGACAGCCUAUUAAUUAGGGCAAACCCGUCUCUGUGGCAAAAGAGUGGGGAGAGCUUUGAGUAGAGGUGAUAAACCUAUCGAACACAGUUAUAGCUGGUUGCCUGGGAACUGGAUUUAAGUUCAGCCUGUCGGCUUCUCCAUAAACCGACACAGUUAGUCAAAGGGGGUACAGCCCCUUUGAAACAGGACACAACCUUUUAAGGAGGAUAAAGAUCAAAUUCAAUAAGGAAAGAUGUUUUAGUGGGCCUAAGAGCAGCCAUCCUGAUGAAAAGCGUUAAAGCUUAGACAUACGAUCCCGAUAAAAACAUCUUAAUCCCCUAUAUUGUACCAGGCCAUCCUAUGCCCCCAUAGGAGUGACUAUGCUAAUAUGAGUAAUAAGAGAGCCCUCUCUCCCUGCACACGUGUAAAUCGGAACGGACCUCCCACCGAGCCUUAACGGCCCCAACUAAAGAGGGAAAUGAAACACAACAAGAAAACCCCCCACCGUUAACCCAACACAGGUGUGCUCCCAAGGAAAGACUAAGAGAAGGAGAAGGAACUCGGCAAACAAGCCUCGCCUGUUUACCAAAAACAUCGCCUCUUGCACGUAUAAGAGGUCCCGCCUGCCCAGUGACACCCAGUUCAACGGCCGCGGUAUUUUGACCGUGCUAAGGUAGCGUAAUCACUUGUCUUUUAAAUGGAGACCUGUAUGAAUGGCAUAACGAGGGCUUGACUGUCUCCUCCUUCCGGUCAAUGAAAUUGAUCUCCCCGUGCAGAAGCGGGGAUUAAAACAUAAGACGAGAAGACCCUAUGGAGCUUUAGGUACCAAGGCAGUCCAUGUUAAGCACCCCUGAAUAAAGGCCUAAACUUAGUGGACUCUGCCCUAGUAUCUUCGGUUGGGGCGACCCUGGGGAAAUACAAAACCCCCAUGUGGAAUGGGAGCACUCCUACAAACUUGAAACACAAUUCUAAUUAACAGAACUUCUGACCAAACAUGAUCCGGCAAUGCCGAUUAACGGACCAAGUUACCCUAGGGAUAACAGCGCAAUCCUCUUUUAGAGCCCAUAUCGACAAGGGGGUUUACGACCUCGAUGUUGGAUCAGGACAUCCUAUGGUGCAG